This 71-nucleotide transfer RNA is filed under the name Camelus bactrianus (Bactrian camel). It matches the Rfam family "tRNA". Rfam says of the family: Transfer RNA (tRNA) molecules are approximately 80 nucleotides in length. Their secondary structure includes four short double-helical elements and three loops (D, anti-codon, and T loops). Further hydrogen bonds mediate the characteristic L-shaped molecular structure. tRNAs have two regions of fundamental functional importance: the anti-codon, which is responsible for specific mRNA codon recognition, and the 3' end, to which the tRNAs corresponding amino acid is attached (by aminoacyl-tRNA synthetases). tRNAs cope with the degeneracy of the genetic code in two manners: having more than one tRNA (with a specific anti-codon) for a particular amino acid; and 'wobble' base-pairing, i.e. permitting non-standard base-pairing at the 3rd anti-codon position. The record is from Rfam by way of RNAcentral. RNAcentral also lists the same sequence under 2 other names. Lineage: Eukaryota; Metazoa; Chordata; Mammalia; Artiodactyla; Camelidae.
GGGUGUAUAGCUCAGUAGUAAAGUUCAUGCUUAGCAUGCAGAGGUCCUGGGUUCAAUUCCUAGUACCGCCA